UUUCUCCAUUGAAAUGUUAGGCAAAGCAGCUCUCUCGAGUCGCUCGCCUUUUCUACUCACUUCUAGAGGAUUUCACAAGCCAAAGGUGACUUACCUCGGCCGCUGAUCAUUUUGAACAGUUUGGGUCGCGCUACUGGACUUUUCUACCUAUAUACUCUGUUUUUAGUCUUUCACAAUGUUAUAUAUGUUAGAGAGAUGAAAGAAGAACCUUUUAAAGCUA
Long non-coding RNA from Amphimedon queenslandica, 220 nucleotides. RefSeq lists it as uncharacterized. The record is from RefSeq and is a predicted model, not a curated record. NCBI's taxonomy places the organism in Eukaryota, Metazoa, Porifera, Demospongiae, Haplosclerida, Niphatidae. The transcript is spliced from 2 exons.